RNAcentral lists this unclassified non-coding RNA (532 nucleotides) under Hevea brasiliensis (rubber tree). The record is from RNAcentral. Lineage: Eukaryota; Viridiplantae; Streptophyta; Magnoliopsida; Malpighiales; Euphorbiaceae.
GCUUAUAAACUCAAAUUUCAAAUAGAAAUGUAUGUGGAUGGCUGCAUGCCUUAUGCCUUAAUUUGGGGCACUUGUUAAACUAUAGCUUGCUUGGCAUUGCGUUUUAAAUUGUUAUUCAGAAAAACACCCUUCUAGAUGCCUUUGAAAAAAGCAGAUAGAAACUGUUUUGGAUGUGCUUUAUGCUUUAAGAUUUUUAACCCAAAACAUCCAAAUUGCACAUUACAAGCAAUUUUUAAUUGCUCUCAACUGCAGCUGCAACAGUUUUGCCAAAUAGAUCUUAUCAUGAUAGUCUUGAUGUUAAUUAUUCAUAAAAAAUGAUUAAUAAGAGAGAGCAAGGAAAAAAAAUAGUCUUCAGGUCAAACAGGCAAUCCAUUAAAAGAAUGCAGAAUUUGCACUUUCCAAACAUACAAGAAAAAGAGUUCUCAUAAAUCACUCUGCCAAAGACAAUUCUUCCUUGGAUACUCUAGGAGAUGCCGAUGGCAGUUAAUUAUGGUAUUAUAACUAAACUUAUCUUUGUACAUUCUGCAUAAAG